RNAcentral lists this ribosomal RNA (548 nucleotides) under uncultured Glomus. RNAcentral describes it as "SSU rRNA". It matches the Rfam family "Eukaryotic small subunit ribosomal RNA", at positions 548 to 1098 of the family's 1831-position model. The record is from RNAcentral. Lineage: Eukaryota; Fungi; Glomeromycota; Glomeromycetes; Glomerales; Glomeraceae.
UUGGAGGGCAAGUCUGGUGCCAGCAGCCGCGGUAAUUCCAGCUCCAAUAGCGUAUAUUAAAGUUGUUGCAGUUAAAAAGCUCGUAGUUGAAUCUCGGGAUUAGUACGUUGGUCGUGCCUUAGGUACGUACUGGUGUUACUGGUUCCUACCUUCUGACGAACCACCAUGUCAUUAAUUUGGUGUGGUGGGGAAUCAGGACUGUUACUUUGAAAAAAUUAGAGUGUUUAAAGCAGGCUCGCGCUUGAAUACAUUAGCAUGGAAUAAUGAAAUAGGACGUUGAUCCUAUUUUGUUGGUUUCUAGGAUUGACGUAAUGGUUAAUAGGGAUAGUUGGGGGCAUUAGUAUUCAAUUGUCAGAGGUGAAAUUCUUGGAUUUAUUGAAGACUAACUACUGCGAAAGCAUUUGCCAAGGAUGUUUUCAUUAAUCAAGAACGAAAGUUAGGGGAUCGAAGACGAUCAGAUACCGUCGUAGUCUUAACCAUAAACUAUGCCGACUAGGGAUCGGAUGAUGUUAAUUUUUUAAUGACUCAUUCGGCGCCUUACGGGAAAC